GGAGGAACUGCAGCCUGGGAGUCAGGAGAGGCUGUAGCACCUCUGGUAGGACAGCUGGCUCCAUCCUGGGAGCCAUGCCUCUGUUCCCAGGUAUACAUCAAGUGUGUGCAGGGGCAGGGUAGUCCCUGCUACUUCUCGUAGGAUCCUCUAGGGGAUGUCUAAUUCCCCAAGAGGACUGAGGCUAUUCUGGGGCCUGGAGCCUCCAUUUCCUGACCUGUAUAAUUGGCCUCAUAGCACUGCCGCCUCCUUUCCCCAGCCCCUCCUCCCACCUCGCUGGAGUGAAGUGAAGUGACCACUUAGGAGGGACACCACAGGGCUUUCCAGGGUGAAGGGCCUGGGAUGGGAGGGGGGCUAGGUGACCCUCUGGAGUCCCAGCCCAGGCCUGGUCAGCCUUGCUGCUCCCUCUGUCCUCCACCUCACUCCCCGUAUAGCCUGGCUUUGGCCCUUCAAAGAGACUGUGAGGAAAUGUGCCCGGAGCUGGGUGACCGCCCUGCAGCUCAUGGAGCGGAACCCUGAAUUCAUCUUUGCCUGCUCCCAGGCGCAGCAGCUGGAAUGGGUGAAGAGCCGCUACCCUGGCCUGUACUCCCGCAUUCAGGAGUUUGCGUGCCGUGGGCAGUUUGUGCCUGUGGGGGGCACCUGGGUGGAGAUGGAUGGGAACCUGCCCAGUGGAGAGGCCAUGGUGAGGCAGUUUUUGCAGGGCCAGAACUUCUUU
This 712-nucleotide small RNA is filed under the name Pan troglodytes (chimpanzee). Its description in RNAcentral is "retained intron". The record is from RNAcentral. Lineage: Eukaryota; Metazoa; Chordata; Mammalia; Primates; Hominidae.